GCCACCCAAAUUACAGCGAUAAAACAUUUUAAUUUACAAUUAAUCAUCCACCCUAAUCAUUGCUUGACCCCAUAAAAAUCCUGUACGCACGGUAAAUUUCCCCUCCACCAUCACACAGUCGAUCAAACAGGGGAGCGUUAAUUCGGAACAUCCUCACAAGUGCAGCCACGAACUUCAGACCGGCAGAUCACACACCAUCCACAGAACUCUACUACGUGGUGACGAGCAAAAACCAACGAUCUACACGCACCGGACCGGAUGCACCCCUAAACCCGUGGAACCAAAAACAAUAAAUCUAACCGAAUUAUGCGAAGGUAUUUAUAUAGAUACUAGAGAGACAACAAAGGUGGGAGUAUAGUAUAGAUGACCAACGUGGGAGGAGAGUUGAGCAUACCGAACGACGAGCCGACGACGCGAACUCCGGCGCCCAGAAGCAGAACAGGUAUGCAGCCGAUCUCGGGCGGCGAUGUUCCUGUGGGCGGCGGGUGCUGGUUUGGCCGUUCUCCUUCCCCCAGGCUGGCGGCUAUAUAGCCGAGGAGACGGCGACAAGGAAGGAGCCAGGAUGGUGGCCGGAGGAGCAAACGCGUGGCGCCGAGUCAGGCCGCCAUGCGGGCUCGGGGCGCGUUACGGUUGCUGCGACCUGCGACUUGCGCGUCGCGAGCGCGUGCCGGCGACCGGCGUGCGUGGGAGGGGAAGGGGAGGAAAGGAAGAAAGCAACGCGACGAAGAACCGAACCGAGCCCCACAUCACCAGCCGGGCCUACAGCGCAGUGACCCGGAUCGAAACAUGUAAUUCUUGUGCCAUUUAUUGUCUUAGGAGAAAACAUAUUUAUGCUUCAUCACAAUAUCAAUAUGGGAAGCGAUUUUACGAAAAUACUUCUGCCCUCAAAGUCACACCUCACAGCAGUGCGGCCAACGGCCGCAUCUGUUCGGCUGCAUAGCUGCGAUUUAUGGACUGUGGAAGAGCUACGACAUGUGAAAAAACUGAUGCGGGCUGUUAAAAAGCUAAAAUCGUUUGGUGGAAACCAUUAAAAAUCGUUAAAUGUUUUUUGAUAUAUAUUUCACGGUUCCAUCCAAAAGCCACUAAAAUCAGGUCUAUAGGUGCUUUAAAUUUUGCACUACGAGAAAGUCAGCUUUUAAAAAAAAACUCUUUAUUGUAUUCAAUCCUUUGGUUUGACUUUUAGCUUUUAGGGAGCAAAAACCAAAAUUAAAAGCUAAACCAAACAUACCCUUAGACUACUAUAAUUGUAAUUGAUAAAGACAAAAUAUUGUAGUAACCACAGCGAACAUGGCUCCCAUGAAUUUCAUGCGCGAUGCAGCUUUCGUUCUCUAUAAAUUAUUGAUUGGUUUGUAUUAUGAUAGGAUAGAGCUAUUUUGUCCUCAAUUUAGUAUUGUUUGAAUUGAUUAUAUAUGAAACUUAAAAAAUAAAAAUUAUGCUUAAAUAUUGAACCAUCUUUUCAAAAUAUCCUGGACAGAACCACUCCAAUUGACUCUGAAACCAAAUGCUACCUAAACUAUGCUCAUACUCACUACCUAAACUAUGCUCAUACCCACUCCAUGAUUUCAUUAUAAGAACAGAAUUUAGAGAACCAAACUCUACCUAAACUAUGCUCAUACCCACUGCAUGAUUUUCAUUAUAAGAACAGAAUUUAGAGACAUGACUCGAUCUACUAUUUCAGCCUCAGAGCCUCAGGCAAGCAGGGAAACGGUUGAUGUCAUCAGAUCAACACGUCUUUUCAGACACCAGCAACAACGUACCGAAAUCGAUUGGUCAGAUAAAGCCACGAUUUAUUACUGGCAAUGGAUAUAAUCUUCAGAGCGCUCCAUCCACAAGACCAACAUAUACAGCAUAUCAGCAAAUGGUUAUUUAUGUCACUUAUUAGCAUUAUGUCACUCGCCACAAGCUGGAUUACUGGAAAUACAGAUGAAGGAUGAGUAACGCUGAAAAGGUAUUACUGGCAACACAUGUCCUGGAAGCCUGAGUUCAGCUACGAUCAACCAUGGAGGGCACAUCACUUCCACUUCUUGAACUUGCCGCCGCCGAACAUGCCGUGCCCGUGCUUGCCAUGCUUGAACUUGCCGUGCCCGUGCUUGAACUUGCCGUGGUGGCCGUGACCAUGCUUGAACUUGCCGUGGCCACCAUACCCGUGGCCGUAACCACCGUGACCAUAGCCUCCAAAGGCCCCAUGUCCACCGUGUCCGCUAUGGCCAUGAGAAAGCUUGUGUGCUCCAUAAGCGGCAGCGGCCGCGGCAGCACCUCCCGCUAGCAUUGCCCCCGUCCCCAUGUGGCCCCCGUGGCCCCCGCCGUGGCUGCUCCCAUAACCUGGAAUCACAAGAAGCAUCAGUUAGCAUGGAAUGAGCUUCAAUAUUUUACUGGAUCAACAGAACAGAAAUACCAAUUUCCAACAUUACAGCUACAGAAUGUAUAUGUAAAUGUUGGUUUAGUACAAUUCUAAAUCUGGACAAUAAAAUGUAAUAUAUAAGCAAUAUAACAAAGCAAGCAAGCCAAAACAAUCUCAAACUACGUACUAUAUAAACUGUUGUAUUAUUAUUACUUACAAAUACGAGUAUUUGCUGGAGUUAGACAAAUUAGCUAUUCUCAUAGCCAUUUCUUUUGUGAAAGGAAAGCUCUACUAGAUAUUAUCAUGGUGAAGGCUCCAUGAUUUCCAAGGUAAAGCACAUAACCGCAGAGUAAUUCAUACCAUGUUGAGUCAGUACCAAUGCAACCGCUAGCUAUUCUAAUAUCACUCUACGUUACAAACUAAGCAGAGUAAGUCAUACCAUGUUGUGUCAGUACCGAUGCAACUGCUAGCUAUUCUGAUCUCACUCCAAGUUACAAACUAAGUAUAGAACUGAUGAAGAGGAGAUCAUACCCUGGUGAGAUGAGCCGGGGUAGCCUGCAGGAGGAUAUCCACCUUGAGGUGGGUAGCCACCUGGCUGAGGGUACCCAUAUUGUGGUGGGUAUGCCCCAGGUGGAGGAGGAUAUGCCCCUGGAGGAGGAGGAUACGCCCCUGGGGGAGGCGGGUAUGCUCCUGGUUGCGGUGGGUAGCCCUGCGGAGGGUAUCCCUGGUGGGGGUACCCAUGACCACCGGCAACGCCGUGCAUCAUGUUCGAGAAGAGCCCCUUGUCGCUCUCGUCAUGCUUGUCUUUCCCUCCUCCCAUUGACCCCGCAAGUUACCUGAAGAAAGAACAUGCAGAUUAUAUAUAUCAAACUGUGAGCCAGCUGAAGUGUAGACUGAGAGAAUAUGAAUGUAGAUUGUAACACGUUGAAGAAUAAGGUGAGAAAAUCUGACACAGCAGGCGAGCGCGGCUCGGCCACCACAGGUCUACUGCCUCGGCCGAGCGCGACCUCGAGCACAGGUUUACUGCCUGGGCCGAGCGCGACCUCGGCUAAUAACCCACAACUGCUUUUCCACAAUCCACACAACUUUUUCAAAAGCCACAACACCCUUAGGCUAUUCUCAAUGGGUAGGUUUCAUAUUUGUGUUUCUAAGAUGCCACAUAAACAAGAAAGAAAUGAAAUCUUUGUUGAAUAGUCUCCCCAGUAGAGAGUUUCGUUGGGUGCGAUUUGGUAUGUAACAAGCAAUAGACAAUAUGCCUAGGUAUUUUACCCCAUGAAACUCAUUUUGUCUCUUUCUUCAUCGAUUGUUUGCCACAUCGUCCAGAUCACUGAUAUGGCACAUCAUUUAAUGAGAAUGAAAAAAAUUUAUGCAGAGGCAAUUGGAAUGAUGUACAGUAGAAAACUGGAAUGCUACCCAUAUAAUGGUCGAGUAUCAUCCCAAUUUCCUACUGCACAUCACUUGAGCAUGCUAGGAUCGGCCAUACGUAACUGAUUGCAUAUGGUAUACUCCUAUUGGCAAGCAGAACAGACCCUGCUUGUUAUCAUAUAAUAGUUCACCCUAAGCGCUACCUUUCUUCCCUACAAAAGGUAGGAUCUACUGGUCACCCAAAUUCCAGCGCUAAAACAUUUUAAUUUACAAUUAACUCCUCCGCCCUAAUCAUUGCUGGAGCUGGACCCCCAUAAGAUCAUGUAUGCACGAUAAAAUUCCCCUCCACCACCACCCAGAUCGAUCAAACAGGGGAAGGUUAAUUCGGAGGAUCCUCACAACUAUAGCCACGCUCACGCACUUGAGAUCGGCAGAUCACACACCAUCCAUAGAACUCUACCACAACGAUGACAAGCAAAAACCAACGAUCUACACGCAUCAAAUGAACCCCUAAACUCGUGGAACAAAAAAGUAAAUCUAACCGAAUUACGCGCAGGUAUUUAUAUAGAGAGACAAAAGGUGGGAGGAGAGUUGGGCAUAC
Molecule: long non-coding RNA, 4307 nt
Filed under: Zea mays
Lineage: Eukaryota; Viridiplantae; Streptophyta; Magnoliopsida; Poales; Poaceae
Description: long non-coding RNA (ZMAY_LNC003643)
Source: RNAcentral